ACGACCUUACUUGAACAGGAUCUGUUCUAUAGGCUCGUACCUCUGUGUCCUUGAUACCUAAGGAGACAGGAACCAAAGUCUGGUGGAUGAACUGUGGCUGUGUGAUCAGAGCGUGAUUAACAGCUCUGGUGGGUUCCCUGGACCUGCCCGUGCUGUAGAGGAUCGUUCCCAGGCGAUGCAAAUUGCCUGAGAUGGUCACGCAGCUGUCUGACAGACU
This is a small nucleolar RNA of Syzygium oleosum, 217 nucleotides long. RefSeq annotates it as small nucleolar RNA U3. Lineage: Eukaryota; Viridiplantae; Streptophyta; Magnoliopsida; Myrtales; Myrtaceae. The transcript has a single exon. The record is from RefSeq and is a predicted model, not a curated record.